Molecule: transfer RNA, 69 nt
Filed under: Anguilla anguilla (European eel)
Lineage: Eukaryota; Metazoa; Chordata; Actinopteri; Anguilliformes; Anguillidae
Description: tRNA-Pro
Rfam family: tRNA
About the family: Transfer RNA (tRNA) molecules are approximately 80 nucleotides in length. Their secondary structure includes four short double-helical elements and three loops (D, anti-codon, and T loops).
Source: RNAcentral
GGCUCGUUGGUCUAGGGUAUGAUUCUCGCUUAGGGUGCGAGAGGUCGGGUUCAAAUCCCGGACGAGCCC